CGGGGAGACUUAACACUCGCUAUGCACCGAGGAGAAGCCUGAAGAGCAGGUAUCAGAGGAGGAGAGACGAGCAGGUUACAUCCGGAGAGGCCGUGUCCUGUGCCCGGGGAUGAGGGGGCAGCAGGUGCAUGGCCUCCAGAGAGACAAAGUGCCUGGCAUUGGCCUGGGCCGCCCGGGCUGUUCAGGAGCUUUGGGUGUGGGGGCCGUGUCGCCAACUCUGGAGACAGAGGGAGGCCGGGGACUGCGGCCGUGGCCGGCGGCGGUGAGCAAAUGAAAGGCUUUGCUUCGAGGGUGGGAUACCGCCCAGGGGUGGGUCUGAAUGCAGCCUCAGAGCAGGGGGGACGCCUCCUCCAGGGAGACACAGAGGCAGCCUGGAUUGCACCUCUGCAAGACCAGCUGGUGGGCGUGGGGGCUCCAGGAUUGGGCUCAGUCCUGCUGGGGUAUCAGAGUCCUCCUGGCCCCCAGGCUUCUGUGGCUCAUUAAGGCGGGAUCAUCCUAAACACGACCCCUUUUGUUAUCUCUUCUGCCUCAGCGAUGCUGGCCCCGCCGUGGUCAGCCCCACCUGCCUGGCGCACCCACAGAAUCUCACCUGGCGUGGCUCCCUCCUCCCCACGCCACAGCAUUUCAUGUUGGCUGGGAAGCCGUCCGGUCAGGCUGCUAACGUGUGGAGCUGUGGGAUGAGUGUGUAUUUACCAUCCAACUCCCCGAGGGACAGGAGCAGCAUCAGGCACUCCCGGGCCUCUCACAACCCGAAUUCCUGCUCUCUGCAGCCAGACAGCAGGCCACCCUUCCAGCAGCUCCAGCCGGAAGCCCCUGGCGCCCAGGACACCUCCUCUCCCCAUUCUCGUCACUCUUCCACACCGUUUCUCCCAACGCCCCCCUGGGGAGUGCUCAACCCCCCAAAUCCCGGAUGCUCCCGUGGGUCCCAGGUGUUCCCGUGGAUCCCAGAUGCUCCUGUGGGUCCCAGGUGCUCCCGUGGGUCCCAGGUGCUCCCGUGGAAUGCAGCCAGUCCUGUUGGUAGCCUCAGAAGCUGGACACCUCGCAUCUCCACAGUUGGCGCCCUGGCUGGCCAUCUCGCUCCUCACUGGUCUCCCUGCUCACCCCACCUCCCAGCCAGCAGGAUCCUGCCCAGAAUCAUCUUAACACCCUGCCGUGGAUCUGCUCCCUUUGGUAAAUGCCAGCAGCCAAGGAGGCCCAGUGCUCGGGCACCUUUUUCUUCUGACCCCGCCCCUUUGGCCAGGGCACACGCCUGCGCCCAGGUGUCGUUGGCUCCGUGCCCCUCCCAGCAGGCAGCCCCAGUGGUGACCCCCAGGAACACCCGUCCCGGCUGAGCCCGCACCGGUCCCCCUCUGCUCUCCUGCUCUGUCCGUGUUCGGGAAAUCUUCCUGUGCUCAGGUUGUGCCCAGCACUCUCUUCAUUCUCCUUGCGAGUGGCUCCGACCCACGACAUUCAGCUGUCCACCC
RNAcentral lists this long non-coding RNA (1463 nucleotides) under Oryctolagus cuniculus (rabbit). Its description in RNAcentral is "lncRNA (ENSOCUG00000036178.1)". Lineage: Eukaryota; Metazoa; Chordata; Mammalia; Lagomorpha; Leporidae. The record is from RNAcentral.